RNAcentral lists this ribosomal RNA (468 nucleotides) under uncultured bacterium. Its description in RNAcentral is "partial 16S ribosomal RNA". It matches the Rfam family "Bacterial small subunit ribosomal RNA", at positions 28 to 507 of the family's 1533-position model. The record is from RNAcentral.
GACGAACGCUGGCGGCGUGCUUAACACAUGCCAGUCGAACGGAAAGGCCCUGCUUUUGUGGGGUGCUCGAGUGGCGAACGGGUGAGUAACACGUGAGUAACCUGCCCUUGACUUUGGGAUAACUUCAGGAAACUGGGGCUAAUACCGGAUAGGAGCUCCUGCUGCAUGGUGGGGGUUGGAAAGUUUCGGCGGUUGGGGAUGGACUCGCGGCUUAUCAGCUUGUUGGUGGGGUAGUGGCUUACCAAGGCUUUGACGGGUAGCCGGCCUGAGAGGGUGACCGGCCACAUUGGGACUGAGAUACUGCCCAGACUCCUACGGGAGGCAGCAGUGGGGAAUAUUGCACAAUGGGCGGAAGCCUGAUGCAGCAACGCCGCGUGCGGGAUGACGGCCUUCGGGUUGUAAACCGCUUUCGCCUGUGACGAAGCGUGAGUGACGGUAAUGGGUAAAGAAGCACCGGCUAACUACGUG